This is a transfer RNA of 72 nucleotides. It matches the Rfam family "tRNA". Rfam says of the family: Transfer RNA (tRNA) molecules are approximately 80 nucleotides in length. The record is from Rfam.
GCGGAAAUAGCUCAGUGGUAGAGCACCACCUUGCCAUGGUGGGGGUCGCGGGUUCGAAUCCCGUUUUCCGCU